Molecule: long non-coding RNA, 354 nt
Filed under: Hordeum vulgare
Lineage: Eukaryota; Viridiplantae; Streptophyta; Magnoliopsida; Poales; Poaceae
Description: long non-coding RNA (HVUL_LNC004793)
Source: RNAcentral
GAUAUUGAGAUACUCCUCCGUCGGAUUGAUACCUUGGUUCUCAAACUGAGGGAAAUACUUACCUCCGCUGUGCUACAUCAUCCUCUCCGCUUCGAGGAAACACCAAUGCAGAAGGAUCCCUGUUGUCGUCAACAUGCCCAUUCCUGGCGCCACUUGAAGGUCUUUUGUGGAGCAGAAUAACGGACAUCAGAAGCAUUCCUGCGCCAUUGCCGGGGAUCCCUUUUGAAACAUCAGAAGUAUUUCUGGCGCCGUUGCCGGGGAGGAGAGGUCAAGAUCUAUCCAAGUAGGUCUCACAAACUCUUCUCUUGCAUUUACUUUUGUUGCGAGUUGCCUCUCGUUUUCCUCUCCCCCACU